This 330-nucleotide unclassified non-coding RNA is filed under the name soil metagenome. RNAcentral describes it as "partial contains 5.8S ribosomal RNA, internal transcribed spacer 2, and large subunit ribosomal RNA". The stretch from base 1 to 120 matches the Rfam family "5.8S ribosomal RNA", at positions 35 to 154 of the family's 154-position model. The record is from RNAcentral.
GAUGAAGAACGCAGCGAAAUGCGAUAAGUAAUGUGAAUUGCAGAAUUCAGUGAAUCAUCGAAUCUUUGAACGCACAUUGCGCCCCCUGGUAUUCCGGGGGGCAUGCCUGUUCGAGCGUCAUUUCACCACUCAAGCCUCGCUUGGUAUUGGGCAACGCGGUCCGCCGCGUGCCUCAAAUCGUCCGGCUGGGUCUUCUGUCCCCUAAGCGUUGUGGAAACUAUUCGCUAAAGGGUGUUCGGGAGGCUACGCCGUAAAACAACCCCAUUUCUAAGGUUGACCUCGGAUCAGGUAGGGAUACCCGCUGAACUUAAGCAUAUCAAUAAGCGGAGA